Molecule: ribosomal RNA, 253 nt
Filed under: uncultured bacterium
Lineage: Bacteria
Description: partial 16S ribosomal RNA
Rfam family: Bacterial small subunit ribosomal RNA
Source: RNAcentral
UACGUAGGGGGCAAGCGUUAUCCGGAUUUACUGGGUGUAAAGGGAGCGUAGACGGCAGUGCAAGUCUGGAGUGAAAGGCGGGGGCUCAACCCCCGGACUGCUCUGGAAACUGUACGGCUGGAGUGCAGGAGAGGUAAGUGGAAUUCCUAGUGUAGCGGUGAAAUGCGUAGAUAUUAGGAGGAACACCAGUGGCGAAGGCGGCUUACUGGACUGUAACUGACGUUGAGGCUCGAAAGCGUGGGGAGCGAACAGG